This 253-nucleotide ribosomal RNA is filed under the name uncultured bacterium. Its description in RNAcentral is "partial 16S ribosomal RNA". It matches the Rfam family "Bacterial small subunit ribosomal RNA", at positions 524 to 776 of the family's 1533-position model. The record is from RNAcentral.
UACGGAGGGUGCAAGCGUUGCUCGGAAUCAUUGGGCGUAAAGCGUACGCAGGCUGUUUGUUAAGUCGGGUGUGAAAGCCCGGGGCUCAACCCCGGAACGGCGCCCGAAACUGGCAGGCUUGAAUGCGGGAGAGGGAAGCGGAAUUCCUGGUGUAGAGGUGAAAUUCGUAGAUAUCAGGAGGAACACCGGUGGCGAAAGCGGCUUCCUGGCCCGACAUUGACGCUCAUGUACGAAAGCGUGGGGAGCAAACAGG